RNAcentral lists this ribosomal RNA (497 nucleotides) under uncultured bacterium. RNAcentral's name for it is "partial 16S ribosomal RNA". It matches the Rfam family "Bacterial small subunit ribosomal RNA", at positions 28 to 507 of the family's 1533-position model. The record is from RNAcentral.
GAUGAACGCUGGCGGCGUGCCUAAUACAUGCAAGUCGAGCGAACAGAUGAGGAGCUUGCUCCUCUGACGUUAGCGGCGGACGGGGGAGUAACACGUGGAUAACCUACCUAUAAGACUGGGAUAACUUCGGGAAACCGGAGCUAAUACCGGAUAAUAUAUUGAACCGCAUGGUUCAAUAGUGAAAGACGGUUUUGCUGUCACUUAUAGAUGGAUCCGCUCCGCAUUAGCUAGUUGGUAAGGUAACGGCUUACCAAGGCCACGAUGCGUAACCGAACUGAGAGCGUGCUCCGCCACACUGAAUCUGAGAGACGGUCCAGACACCUACAAGAAGCCGCAGUAGGGAAUGUUACGCGAUAGGCGAAAGCCUGACGGUACAACACCGCGUGAGUGAUGAAGGUCUUCGGAUCGUAAAACUCUGUUAUUAGGGAAGAACAAAUGUGGAAGUAACUAUGCACGUCUUGACGGUACCUAAUCAGAAAGCCACGGCUAACUACGAG